This 348-nucleotide ribosomal RNA is filed under the name Triticum aestivum (bread wheat). RNAcentral's name for it is "partial small subunit ribosomal RNA". Lineage: Eukaryota; Viridiplantae; Streptophyta; Magnoliopsida; Poales; Poaceae. The record is from RNAcentral.
AUGGCUGUCACCCGCGCUGAAGCCAAAGCAGUGCAAGAGGCACGAGCCAUGGCCGCCACCCGUGCCAAAGCCGAAGCAGCGGAGAAAGAACGAGCUAUGGCCGCCGCCCGCGCUGAAGCCAAAGCAGUGGAGGAGAGGCGCGUUGUGGCCACCACCCGUGCCAAAGCCGAAGCAGCAGAAAAGGAACGGGUUGUGGCCGCUGCCCGCGCUGAAGACAAAGCAGUGGAGGCGGCGCGCUCCAUGCCAAAACCGAAGCAGCGGAUAAGGAACGAGUUGUGGCCGCGACACGCGCCAAAGCCACCGCCGCUCGUGCUGAAGCCGAGGCAGCAGAGGAACAACGCAUAUUAG